This is a long non-coding RNA of Callithrix jacchus (white-tufted-ear marmoset), 1577 nucleotides long. Lineage: Eukaryota; Metazoa; Chordata; Mammalia; Primates; Cebidae. The record is from Ensembl.
GGAAAGAGGCAGGAGGGAUACAGGGAUGACUCAAAUAAGCAUCUUCCCCUUCACGUAACUCAGCCUGGCGGAAACUUAGCUGGCUCCCUGCCUGUCCUAGGCCCUCUCGCUUUUCCUUCUGGUCUCCUCAUUGUCUGUUUCUUUGCUGACCCUGGCCUUUAGCCCUAUGCCCACGGAAAGACAUCCCCAUCACCUCUCCCAUCGUUUCCGGGUGAAGAUUCUCUGGGACAGAUCCCUAGAAUGAACAACCUGAACAACCUUCUCUCCUGAGGUCUCGCCUAUUGCCUCCUCAUUUACCAGAAAUGUUUCCCUCCCUGAAGCUGAGAGAGAAAGAGAGAGAGAUCCAAACACAGCCAACCCAGGCCAGAAUCUCCUGGAGAGUUCUUUGGAGUGUGGAGUGACUGACUGAUUCAUCUAGUGGACCAGUUGACUAUCUUCCCAGCUGUGAGAUAGAAAGAAGCUGAGGAGUGCACACAAAAAUUUUAAAAAAUUUUUUAAAAGGCAGGGGCGGGGGCUGGACGCAGUGGCUCACUCCUGUCCGUAAUCCCAGCACUUUGGGAGGCCAAGGUUGGCAGAUCACCUGAGGUCAGGAGUUCGAGACCAGCCUGGCCAACAUGGUGAAACCCCAUCUCUACUAAAAGUACAAAAAUUAGCCGGGCAUGGUGGCAGGUGCCUGUAAUCCCAGCUACUCCAGAGGCUGAGGCAGGAGAAUCGCUUGAACUCAAGAGAUGGAGGUUGCAAUAAGCCUCCACUGCACUCCAGCCUGGGUGACAAAGCAAGACUCUAUCUCAGAAAAACAAGUAAAAAUUAAAAAGAACUGAGGACACUCAGCCUGUCUCCCAGGGAUCCCAUGCAGAAUUAUUCCCAGCUCUCACUCCCCCUCUCACCCUCACCAUCAAUCAUCACCAUCACACCAGGCCAUGGAAGAUGUGUCAGUGCAGAUAUCUGUAUAGAGAUGUAUGAGCACAGAACAGAGUGAGUGACAGCAUGCCAUUUACAUACAGGUGACUGCGCUGUGGGCCUUUGGUUACUUACCUCACCUCUCUUCUUUCUUUCUUUCUUUUUGAGAUGGAGUUUCGCUGUUGUUACCCAGACUGGAGUGCAAUGGCAAGAUCUCGGCUCACCGCAACCUCCGCCUCCUGGGUUCAAGCAAUUCUCCUGCCUCAGCCUCCUGAGUAGCUGGGACUACAGGAGUGAAAAGUGGCUCCUCACUGAAAGGCUGGCAGUCCCCAGGGUUCGAAUUGUAACACAGAUACCAUCUUCUGUCCUGCCUCUAAAACUUAAAUACCGGUGACCCAAAGUCUCCAUUGAAACGGAUUGAGACCCGCGGGUUGUGAAACCUACUGAAGUGAGCGGCUGUGCCAGGACUCCUGGGACCCCGACCUCUUUGCAGCUCGCACCGCUAACCGCGAGGGCGCCCUUCAGCAGAAGCAGCCCACCGCAGACACGCCGAGGGAGGAAGGCUGCCGGCGUCGGGGCUUGGGAACUGGCCGGCACCCAGGCCGAAAAGCACGUGGGCUGAGCGGGAGCGGAGAAGAGUGCGCAGGUCAGAGAGCGGCGCGCGGCGCGGUUCCGCG